CGUCUGUAUACAUGUGUAAUUUCUAUUCGUUUAAAUAACUUACAAAUUGUCAAUAAUACCAGUGACUGUUUGUGGUGCUGAAACGGAUUUGAUUUUGGUAACGAAAUGGGAUUUUGUUAAUGAACCUAGUCGGUGACGAAGUGGAUUGGUGACUAUAUGGGGUGUAUCCUUACAUAUACAGUAUGUUAUGGUGGCUGGUCCAGAGGGUCUCCAGUUUGAUUGUGGAUUGUCACUGCUGUUUGACCUCGUGAUGGAAAGGUAAAUAGAUUGGUAAAGGUGGAGCAGAUGGUUAGCACCAGAAAUAUCUUGGGUAAUUAUUUGUUUUAGCACACCCUCGAAUUUUUCCAUGAGAUGUUUGAUUUCUGAUAUAUUUUGAUGUGUUAUGUUCAGAUCUGACCUUCAUUUCCAUGGGCAAUGUGUCGUUUAAAAAGAAAAGAUGCUAGUCAUCCUUGAUAAAAAACAGCUAUUUUCCAUCAAAAACGAAGGUGAUGUCCAAAAAAACAGACACCAAACAUCUAGACCCCUAACUUUCACUAAAUUAACCUACCUUAACCUAACCAAACCUAACCUCCCCUAACCCCCGCGGGGGGCCCUAACCAAGCGUUCGUGAGGUCCGGGAAGGGAGCGGAGCAGGCAGUGACACGCCUCACGGCUCCAGACAGCUCGCGGUGGGACAAGAAAUGGUGUGGAAACCCUCACUAAGACCUGCGUUACAUGAUCCAGCAGAAUACAAGCAGGUGUGGAUGUGACAUAUCCAGCAUCACCUUUACAGUAGUCAGGAAGGUAGACAAGGGAGAGAGCUGAGGACCCAACACAGAAACCCAACUUAACACCAGUCUGGGUCAAAAGUUCGUUUCCUCCCAAACUGAACCAGUAUCGACCCCAAAUGGAAUCAAACAGCACACCUGCACCAGAUGACACUCAGGGUAAGUAAUUUUAGAGACUCAUUACCUUAACUCAGUUUCACCACAGGGAACCAGCUUUUAUCUGUGACUGUACAACAGGUGAAGUGAUAAAAUUUAUGCUGGACUUAUAGAAAUUUACA
This is a long non-coding RNA of Homarus americanus (American lobster), 1045 nucleotides long. RefSeq lists it as uncharacterized. Lineage: Eukaryota; Metazoa; Arthropoda; Malacostraca; Decapoda; Nephropidae. The record is from RefSeq and is a predicted model, not a curated record. The transcript is spliced from 3 exons.